Molecule: ribosomal RNA, 584 nt
Filed under: Leuconostoc mesenteroides
Lineage: Bacteria; Bacillati; Bacillota; Bacilli; Lactobacillales; Lactobacillaceae
Description: bacterial SSU rRNA
Rfam family: Bacterial small subunit ribosomal RNA
Source: RNAcentral
AUUAGUUAGUUGGUGGGGUAAAGGCCUACCAAGACAAUGAUGCAUAGCCGAGUUGAGAGACUGAUCGGCCACAUUGGGACUGAGACACGGCCCAAACUCCUACGGGAGGCUGCAGUAGGGAAUCUUCCACAAUGGGCGAAAGCCUGAUGGAGCAACGCCGCGUGUGUGAUGAAGGCUUUCGGGUCGUAAAGCACUGUUGUAUGGGAAGAACAGCUAGAAUAGGAAAUGAUUUUAGUUUGACGGUACCAUACCAGAAAGGGACGGCUAAAUACGUGCCAGCAGCCGCGGUAAUACGUAUGUCCCGAGCGUUAUCCGGAUUUAUUGGGCGUAAAGCGAGCGCAGACGGUUUAUUAAGUCUGAUGUGAAAGCCCGGAGCUCAACUCCGGAAUGGCAUUGGAAACUGGUUAACUUGAGUGCAGUAGAGGUAAGUGGAACUCCAUGUGUAGCGGUGGAAUGCGUAGAUAUAUGGAAGAACACCAGUGGCGAAGGCGGCUUACUGGACUGCAACUGACGUUGAGGCUCGAAAGUGUGGGUAGCAAACAGGAUUAGAUACCCUGGUAGUCCACACCGUAAACGAUGAAGGA